RNAcentral lists this ribosomal RNA (498 nucleotides) under Triticum aestivum (bread wheat). Its description in RNAcentral is "partial small subunit ribosomal RNA". The record is from RNAcentral. Lineage: Eukaryota; Viridiplantae; Streptophyta; Magnoliopsida; Poales; Poaceae.
AUGAUACAUGAACUAGGCACUAGGCAGCUGCAUGAUGGCAGCGCACACAAGCUGGUCUUAGGGUCCAGAGCAAAGCGGCAUCAGAAGAAGAAAAAGAAGAAAGCCGUACCCCGCGACGCUGUACAAAUUACGGCCGUGUCUCCCAGCUUGGCUCAUUCUGCAUCCUGCACACUCAAAAUCGCAAGCAGCAUUCGCUUCCCCUCUGCUGCCUCCACCCCAUCUCCGUCUCUCCUCCGGAUGGCGCCGCAGAAGGUGGUCGUGAAGGUCUCUUCUAUGAGCGACGAGAGGGUGAAGCAGAAGGCCAUGGAAACCGUUGCAGACAUCUAUGGUAUCGACUCAAUAGCCGCGGACCACAAGGAUCAGAAGAUGACGGUGAUAGGUGAUAUGGACAGCGUCGUGAUCGCCAAGAAGCUGCGGAAGUUCGGGAGGAUCGACAUCCUGUCCGUUGGGCCGGCGAAAGAAGAGAAGAAGGAUGAUAAGAAAGGGGAGAAGAAGUGA